This 152-nucleotide small RNA is filed under the name Rhizobium sp. BK591. RNAcentral's name for it is "sRNA Atu_C7". The stretch from base 56 to 152 matches the Rfam family "Rhizobiales sRNA Atu_C7", at positions 52 to 157 of the family's 157-position model. RNAcentral also lists the same sequence under 4 other names. The record is from RNAcentral. Lineage: Bacteria; Pseudomonadati; Pseudomonadota; Alphaproteobacteria; Hyphomicrobiales; Rhizobiaceae.
CACAUUCGAAAGUCCAGGUACGACAUCAAGUACGGCACCUGCACUUUCAUCGCUGGGUUCUCCUGGCGCGUUCCGAAGCCUCGGAUGUUCCUCCCUCAUCCGAAGGUAAUGCGCCCGCCUCGCCUCGCUCGCUCCAGCGCGCGAGGCGUCUU